RNAcentral lists this transfer RNA (80 nucleotides) under Gymnocarpos przewalskii. RNAcentral's name for it is "tRNA-Leu". It matches the Rfam family "tRNA". From Rfam's summary of the family: Transfer RNA (tRNA) molecules are approximately 80 nucleotides in length. Their secondary structure includes four short double-helical elements and three loops (D, anti-codon, and T loops). Lineage: Eukaryota; Viridiplantae; Streptophyta; Magnoliopsida; Caryophyllales; Caryophyllaceae. The record is from RNAcentral. RNAcentral also lists the same sequence under 1 other name.
GCCGCUAUGGUGAAAUUGGUAGACACGCUGCUCUUAGGAAGCAGUGCGAGAGCAUCCCGGUUCGAGUCCGAGUGGCGGCA